CUACUUGUAAAAAUAAAUCGGAAAAUAAAAUAAAAAAAGGGGGUAACCGUUUUCGUUUUUGAGAUACGAGCUGUUGAAAUUAACAGCAUCAUACACCAAAAUUACAAAGGAUAUAUAGGGAAAAUCGUGAAAUUCGGCAGGAAUUGUUACAUUUCCAAGAUUUUCUAUUAUAUUAGACAAUCGAUUUUUUUUUAAAUUUAUGAGACGAUUCUAAAAUGUCUG
Molecule: long non-coding RNA, 222 nt
Filed under: Mytilus galloprovincialis (Mediterranean mussel)
Lineage: Eukaryota; Metazoa; Mollusca; Bivalvia; Mytilida; Mytilidae
Source: RNAcentral